Molecule: long non-coding RNA, 761 nt
Organism: Zingiber officinale
Lineage: Eukaryota; Viridiplantae; Streptophyta; Magnoliopsida; Zingiberales; Zingiberaceae
Exons: 4
Source: RefSeq, a predicted model, not a curated record
UCUUAUUUUCCUUUUCUUUUCUCUUCUCCCCGUUCUCCCCGUGCCCUAGCCCUCACCCACGCCGAUUUCCCUUCUUCUUGACGCCUUCUCCACUUCCCCGAGCCGAUCGUCUCUCCCUUCUCUCUGCCAUAGCGCCGCGAAGACAAGGAGGACGCGACCUCGGAGGACACCUCUUCGGCGUGCACCCCAAGUGAAUCGUCACUCCUUCCUUCUCCCGUGACCCCCAGCCGCCGUCGGUUACAUCAGCGACUGCAGGGGCGCAAUCGAUCCCAAAGAUCACACCCCAACGUGCAUCUCUGGUUAAUCGCCGUCACCAGCCUCAAACCACUCCACACUGUUGCCCCUGCCGGCCACGGUGAACUGCUACGGAGGAAGAGGAAAAAGUGGGAUUCGGGCUCGAAACAAAGCCUCAGAAUUGAAGACGACCAAGACACGUUGUAUUGAGCUUCAACCAGCAUUGUUCACCGGAUUUGAAAACGCAACCACCAGAUUCUUUCCUCCAUUCACAAGAUAGUACGAUCCAAUCAGUAGCAUUAUGAACGUGCUGAAUUCCGACAAGCAAGUGCUGAUUUGGGAUUCUUGACCUAGAAGGCAGUAGCUUCAUUUAACACCGGCCGGAACCUCCGGCAGUAACUUAUUUAGCCAAAAGUCUACAGAGGCAUCUCUAGUUGGGACACUAGUCAGAGACACAUCGCGACGUGGAGGUAGUUUGAGAUGAUCGUUUUGACGUGGGAGUUAUGUUGGCAUGAUCUACAAUAAAG